RNA transcript from Haemorhous mexicanus (house finch), 3979 nucleotides. It is a transcript of the gene named striatin 4, with no coding region annotated. The record is from RefSeq and is a predicted model, not a curated record. Lineage: Eukaryota; Metazoa; Chordata; Aves; Passeriformes; Fringillidae. The transcript is spliced from 18 exons.
GGCAGCCGCCAUGGCGGCCGAGCGGGCUCCGCCGGCCCGGGCCCAACCUCCGCCCCCCGGCCCCGCUCCCGGCCCCGCUCCGGGCCCCGCUCCGGGCCCCGAGCCCGCGGCACGAACCGGCCUCAGCCUGCCGGGCAUCCUGCACUUCAUCCAGCACGAGUGGGCGCGGUUCGAGGCGGAGAAAGGGCGCUGGGAAGCGGAGAGGGCCGAGCUGCAGGCGCAGGUGGCGUUCCUGCAGGGCGAGCGCCAGGGCCAGGAGAGCCUCAAGCUGGACCUGGUGCGGCGCAUCCGGAUGUUGGAGUUCGCCCUCAAGCAGGAGAGGUCCAAGUACCACAAACUGAAAUUCGGGACGGAGGCGGCGCCGGGGGAGAAGCGCCCGGAGGAGCCGCUGUCCAACGGCCCCGUGGAACUCGAGGGAGCCUGGAAGGAGGGGAGGCAGCUCCUGCGCCAGUACCUGGAGGAGCUCGGCUACAGCGACGCCAUCUUGCGCAUGCGCUCUCGCCGCCUCCGCGCGCUGCUGGGCCGCAGCCCUCAGGCGAUCCCCCCGGCAAUCCCCCCGGGAAUUCCCUCAGAAAUUUCGGGAAUUCCCUCGGAAAUUUCGAGAAUCCCCUCGGAAAUUGCGGGAAUCCCCUCAGGAAUCCCGCCGGGAAUCCCGGGAGCCCCUCGCAGCCCCGGGAGUCCGCCGUCCCCUCCUCCCGGCGCGGAGUCGCUGCUGCUGCGCAGGAUCGAGGAGCAGAUCCAGAGGAACGCCGGGAAGGAGCCGCAGGAGGGGCUCAGCCCCUCCCCCCCCGAGGAGGACAGCGACGAGGAGGAGGAGCCCGAGGGCCCCUCCCCCAGCCCGGCCCGCAGGAGGGGCAAGGGUGUCCCCAAGGUCCCCGAGGAGGAGGAGGAGGAGGAGGAGGAUGAAGAUGAGGAGGACUCCGAGGACGCCCUGGGCGAGUUCGACUUCCUGGGGACACCUGGGGACACCUUGGGGACACCUGGGGACAUCCGAGAGAGCCACCGGUGCCACCUGCGGGACGGGGACCUCGGGCCACCACGGCCACCGCGGCCACCUGAAGGGUCCCCGGGGGUCCCGGCCGAGGCGCUGGCCCUGGACGGCCUCGGGGACCUGGCGGAGCUGACGGUGACAAAUGACAAUGACGGCUGUGACGUGUCCUCGGGCCGGCCGCUGUCCCCGAAGCGCAGCUGGAGCCCGCGCCUGACGCUGCGCAGCCACUACGACGCCGUGCGGGCGCUGGCCUUUGUCCCUUGUCACCCGGCGCUGGUGACAGCCUCCGAGGACGCCACCCUCAAGCUCUGGAACCUGCAGAAGCCACUUGUCCCCAAGAAGAGCGCGGCGCUGGACGUGGAGCCGGUGUACGCCUUCCGCGGGCACAGAGGCCCCGUGCUGGCGGUGGCGGUGGCGGCAGGUGGCCCAGGUGACCCAGGUGACACCGGUGACACCGGGCUGUGCUGCAGUGCCGGGGUGGACGCUCGGAUCCGCUGCUGGCGCCUGCCCGGGCUGGACAGCGACCCCUACGAUGGCUACGACCCGCAGGUGCUGCGGGGGACCCUGGAUGGCCACGCCGACGCCGUCUGGGGCCUGGCCUUCGAUGUCACCGGGCGUCACCUGGCCUCGUGCUCGGCCGAUGGCACCGUGCGCCUCUGGGACCCCCGCGGGGACAGCGGGGACAGCGCGGGUGGCACCGGGGCGGGCACCUGCCUCAGCGUGCUGGACGGGCACACAGAUCACGGUGUCCCCACCUCGGUGACGUUCGUCCCCACCCAGCCGGCGCACCUGGUGGCCGGGUUCCGCUCAGGUGCCACCGUCCUCUACGACCUCGAGGCCACCAAGGCCACCCUGGUGUCCCCAAACGGCGGUGGCCGUGCCCAGGUGAACCAGGUGGUGGCUCACCCCUCGCAGCCGCUGACCAUCACGGCCAGCGACGACCGCGCCAUUCGUUACCUGGACAACCGCACAGGUAAGGUCGUGCACUCGAUGGUCGCUCACCUGGACGCCGUCACCUGCCUGGCCCUGGACCCCAGCGGAGCCUUCCUGCUGUCCGGCAGUCACGACUGCUCCCUGCGCCUGUGGCACCUGUCCCAGCACACCUGUGUGCAGGAGCUCCCCGCCCACCGCCGCAAGCACCACGAGGCCGUGCUGGCCGUGGCCUUCCACCCCCGGCGCGCCCUCAGCGCCAGCGCCGGCGCCGACGCCCUGGCCAAGGUGUUCGUCUGACACCUGGGCACAGCUGGACACACCUGGGCACUCACCUGGGCACAGCUGGACACACCUGGGCACACCUGGGGACAGCGGCAGAAUGGACAGGAGGUGGCGCCAUUUGUUCCUCCGUGUGUUGGUGGCACCUGUGGUGGCAUCUGUCACCUCCCCCAGACCAGGAUCACACCUGGGCACUCACCUGGUGGCACCAGGGCACACCUGGGGACAGCUCCAGGACAGGACAGGAGGUGUUUGUCACUUGUUUCUCGGUGUGUUGGUGGCACCUGUCACCUCCCCCAGAGCAGGGUGACACCUGGACACACCUGGGCACUCACCUGGUGGCACCUGGGCACACCUGGGCACACCUGGGGACAGCGCCAGAAUGGACAGCAGGUGGCGCCGUCUGUUCCUCUGUGUGUUGGUGGCACCUGUGGUGGCACCUGUCACCUCCCCUUGCCCACGGACCAGGUGUGACACACCUGAGGUGGCACCUGGGCACACCUGGGGACCUCAUCACGGACCAGGAACAGGACAGGAGGUGGCACCACAGGUGACGUCAUUCAUUUCUCUGUUGGUGGCACCUGGGACCAGGUGAGGUCACACCUGGGCACAGCACAGGAACGGGACAGGAGGUGGCACUGAGGUGACAUCGGUUAUCUCUGUGUGCAGGUGGCACCUGGUGGCACCAGGUGACCUCGGUCACCUCCCCCAGAGCAGGUGACAACACCUGAGGUGGCACCUGGACACCUGAGGUGGCACCUGAGGUGACACCUGGACAGGUGAGGUGGCACCUAGGGUGGCACCUGGACAGGUGAGGUGGCACCUAGACACGUGAGGUCGCACCUGGGGUGGCACCUGGACAGGAGAGGUGACACCUGAGGUGGCACCUGGACAGGAGAGGUGACACCUGAAGUGGCACCUGGACAGGUGAGGUCGCACCUGAGGUGGCACCUGGAGAUGUGAGGUGGCACCUGGACAGGUGAGGUGGCACCUGCCAUUGUCACCUGCACCUGGACACCUGAGGUGGCACUUGGACAGGUGAGGUGGCACCUGCCAUUGUCACCUGCACCUGGACACCUGAGGUGGCACUUGGACAGGUGAGGUGGCACCUGCCAUUGUCACCUGCACCUGGACACCUGAGGUGGCACCUGGACAGGUGAGAUGACACCUGAGGUGACACCUGGACAGGUGAUGUGGCCCCUGGGGUGGCACCUGCCAUUGUCACCUGUCCUUGCCCAGGGCUGAAGGGCUCUGUCCCCUCCCCCCCCCCCCGAUUUGGGGGAAUUUUCCCCUCCAGGUAAAUCCCAAAUUUUGGAAUUUCCCCCCCAAUUUUUAGGAUUUUUUUCACAUUUUCCUCCAUCAGCCAAAUCCCAAAUUUGGGGAAUUUUUCCCCCAUCAAAAUCCCAAAUUUUAAUUCAUUUCCCCCAAAAUUUUGGGAUUUUUUCCCAUCCAGUUUUUUCUAUUUCCCCCUCCAGAUAAAUCCCAAAUUUUGGGGAUUUUUUCCUUCUGGAUAAAUCCCAAAUUUUUGGGUUUUCCCCCCAAUUUUUUUCCCCUCCUGGAUAAUUCCCAAAUUUUUGGGAUUUUUUUUUUUCCCCCCCAAUUUUUAGGAUUUUCCUGCCCAAGUAAAUCCCAAUUUUUGGCUUUUUCCUCAUAAAUUUUGGAAUUUCCCCCCCAAUUUUUAGGAUUUUUUUCACAUUUUCCUCCAUCAGCCAAAUCCCAAAUUUGGGGAAUUUUCCCCCCAUCAAAAUCCCAAAUUUUAAUUCAUUUCCCCCAAAA